Molecule: long non-coding RNA, 402 nt
Organism: Bubalus bubalis (water buffalo)
Lineage: Eukaryota; Metazoa; Chordata; Mammalia; Artiodactyla; Bovidae
Exons: 2
Source: RefSeq, a predicted model, not a curated record
AUGAAGCUCUGGGGUACUGAGGCUGCUUCAGGGGAGACAGAGCGCUGGCGGGAGAGUAAGACCUGUUUGGAGUCCUAGCUUUGCUUAACCGCUUGGUAGAUUUUGGCCACAUGGCCUCCGCAGUUAGGCCUGUGAACUAAGAAAGUCUGAUGACGUGGCCUCUGGACCUACUGUCCUCUUGUUGUGGGCUGGGAGCCCUGGGGCCUCAAGAGACAUCGGUGGCCAGAGGAACUCCAGCCCACCUGGGGAUAAACUUUUGCUCCGGUACUAGCCCUGAGGAAGCAGAAUUGGAAAGAACACCUGAUUCUUCAGAAGCCUGCAGAGCCUUCUAGCGGGAUUUGGGAUUAUCUGCUCCAGGGAUCACUCAGCCAGUUUUCCACCUAUUAAAUAGUUGAGAUUUGA